CGGGCGAGGAAGUUGGGCGGUGGCGGUCGCCUUGGGGCGACCGGGUCCCUGCUCUGCCCGGCACGGCCGGGAGGCCCGACGGUGGCAGCUGCCGCGGGUCCCACAAGUUGUUUUCCUCGUGGCGACCAUUCAGCAAAACGCAGGAUCCUUUCUCAAAGAUUUAAAUUUCGCGGAUGAAUUACCAUACACCGGUUGCUUAGCAACUAAAUUCAAGCAGGGCUAAGAAUAUGCAAGCUUUUUGUAUUCUCAUUAAUAAAAAUGCCACUCUGACACAGCAACCCGACUUUGGAUCACUGCAACUUCUGUAAAAGCCGUAGGAGAAUACAAACCGAUCCUGCCAUUUAAUUACAGAUCAAAAUGGCUUGAAACGCGAUGUUUUGUUCAUCUAUCUUCCUAAAAGCGAUGUAAAAAAUAACGGCUUUCAAGAGCAGUAGUAAAUUUUCUUCUUCUUUUUUUAAUGGAGUUGUCUAUCGGGAUUACUGAUAAUUGUCAACUGAAACCUUUUUGAAGCACAGGUUGAAAUAUCCCUUUUCAUCAACAUUUCUGUUCUUUCCCCCAAAACCCCCUCACCCUCUGAUCCUGUUCUUCUUCUUCACCCAAUAACUGUUGUGGUGGUGGUGGUGGUGGUGGUGGUGGUGGAAAUGUCAAGGCCUUGGGAGCCCUAGGGUCUAAAAAGCAGUUAGGAGAGUAAUGGACAAGCCCAGUGGCUGGAGAAAUAGCAAAGGAAACUUCAGAAAGUUUCCUUGGAAGUUUGGGGCAGUUGCUGAAGGCCGAAGUGGCUUAAGUUCCAAGGAUUUGGCCAGAACUUUUGGGGAGGCUUGUGGGGAGUAAGGUAAGAAAACCCUGUGGCCCUCCGCUCCAUAUCUGCAGAUUUUCCGUUCUGGAGUGGUGUCGCUUCUCUGCGGAAAAUAGUUGCGGCCUCCGGCUCUGCCGACUGUGGAGUUCAGAGGGGCUGUGUUCACAGGGCCGGGCUGACCCUGCCUGUCUGAGAAAUCUUUUUUUUUGGUUGCUCUGGAGCCCUCGAACUGUGGACAAAGUAAAGAUCGAGCUCAACUCAUGACCCUUUGGGUCUUCAAAGAGUGGCCCAGCCCAGAGACCAGAGCCUGAGAUUUAUUUAUGUGAGGGACUGACUUUGCGCCUCUUGUCCAAGGAUGCCGCGUGUGCAAGGUGAUGCGCUGACUCAGAAAAAGGUUCCAAUCUGCACGCCUUUGCUCCAGUCCGAGUUGGGGUGGGGGUGGGGGUGCCGAAGGGGUCAAAACAGAAUGGCCUCUUGUGCAGAAAGGUCGCAUUGUGUGAGAGUGUACCGCAGUCUAAGCAGCUGGGACGGCAGCGCAGGGAUAAGACAGGAGGCAUCUGAAGGCUUUUGUGGAAGCUAAGGGCUGCCAGGCCCUGCGCUGCCCUCGGCCAUGGAAUUCAAGGAAUAGCCCUGGGCUCUUGGUUCAGGCUCAGCUUCCCGCCGGUGGUAAACUCGGUGCCACACCAAGGUAGGCUGCUUGUUCUCUGAUCAGGGCUUGGACACUCCCCAUGCCCCCCUUCCCUGCCCGGGGACUGUGGGCCCCAGACCUGCAGGGUGAUACUGAGAUGCCAUGUGCGGGCUCCGGUGGCAAGGUCAGGCAGAGAUGCCAAUCCGCUGGUCUGUGCCCAAUGCACUGGUCUGUGCCCAAUGCACGGGCCAAUGAGAUUGCUGGCCGGUUUCGCUUCUAAAGCUGUAAAAACAGGCCGUAGUUAGCUUUAGAAAGAUCCAGGGGCAAAAGUGAAACCCUACAUUGAUUCUGCUAACAUUCCCAGAGAGCCAACCCCCAGUGCAACAACCUUUGUUAAAAGGGGAACUUUAGAAAUGACAUGUCUCUGGGUCAUCCUGGACACUUAGGAAUAGGAAACCUCACAACUGACUCAGUUGACUCCGGCUUCUUUCUAUUGAGUACAAAAAUAAUAACAAUGGAACUGAAACAAGUCUUAAGUUGAAGUAUUUGUUGUAUUAGGCUGUGCUCCUAGUUCCUUUGCCAGUAAAACAUACACAGUACACAGGAAACCAUUUAUUUACAAAUACAAUUGCCCUAGACAAGCCACAUUCCAUGUAUGUAAUUCAUUAAUAGAACUUUUCCUUUCUUCCUUCCCUUUGGAAAGCUCCAAAAUAGCUGGAGCUUGGGGGAAAGGAAGGAGAGUGGUUAUCCUACCUGUUUCUUGAAAAUGAAGCUAAACUACCUGGCCAGUUCCUGUCCAUGAUGUUCCACACUGUAAGCUAAUCAAAAUACAUGCUGAUAGUUUUGUUUUCUUUUUGACUCUUCAGAAAAGAAGUUUGUUGCUUGUGGUUGCUGUCAUCAGAGUUGCCCAGUAGAAAGGAGCUGGUAAUGUGGCCCUAGUUGGUAUGUGUGUGAUUUACAUGUGAACAAAACUAAAAUUUAGACAGCUGGAGCUGGCUGAGAAUCUAUGAAAAUUGUUAUCUGUAAAACCUACUCUGUGGUUAUAGUUUUUAAAAUGUCUGUGGACAAUGCCCGUUGGACUACUUCCUUUCUGAGAAAAGUUAUGCCCAGGGACCAUGCUAGAGAGGGCUUCCUGGUCACCAGGAGAGCUAGGAGCCUUUAUUUAUAGCACCUGAGUCUGCUGUUUGAAUUCAGGAAGUUUUCUCUAAGUGAGUCUUCACCUCCUGUAAGUUGAGAGAGGAGUUUUGUUUGGGGAAGAGCUGGCCAAAGGAAGCCAUAACCAAGUGUGAAUUUUCUGGGUGCCCCAGUGAGUUUUAUUUAAACAUGAAAAGUAUGAAACACACCUGAAUUUUGUCUGGAACUUUGUAAGUUCCCACUACUAGACAUGGUUACAAAAGGACAAAAAGAAUGAUCACUGAUGCUCAUGUUUCAUAUUGUAGCUACCAAAUAAUGGGACAAACACUGAAAGAGAGGCACAAACUUUUUAAAAUAAAUUUUAUUUUUUAAAAAAGGACAAGAGAUAUUUUGAUGAAGAGCUUCCUGAGAGAUCACACUGUAGUUCUGCCCCCAGGACUGCCUCUCAGCAGAAGGCCUUGAACUGGGGCUUCAAGGAGGGGAAUAAAAGCCCCCCAGGGAAUGAAGCCUCCACUUCCACUUGCAUCACCCUGACACCCCCUGCUAGAAAACCCAAGUGCUAGAAGAUUUGGGGCAAAAUGGUAACUUGAGGCAUCCCCAUGUGAGUGUGUUACAUAACACACAGAACCCUCUGCUGGGAGAGAUGCACACACUUGAUUGUCUCCAAAUGACUAUGUGCAGGCGUAGAGGUCUGGAAGGGAGACAUGAAGACAAAUCAAAGAAGAAGAUUGUGAGGCCAUAUAUGAUACGCACAUGUGAGUUGGUGUGCAUAGGAACGGUUAUAUUUCCACUUUCUGGUGGGUCAGAGCAUCCUCCAGAGAGCCUGCCUGCCUGGAGUUCACCUUGGGUAAGAAAGAGACACACUGAAUAUGGGGACUGGGUGGAAGCAACUGUACUCAAGAGCACUGGGACCUGGUGCCCUGUGGCCAGUACAAGCCAGGUUAGUAUAAAGCUGUGUCAUCCUCAA
Long non-coding RNA from Marmota monax (woodchuck), 3525 nucleotides. RefSeq lists it as uncharacterized. NCBI's taxonomy places the organism in Eukaryota, Metazoa, Chordata, Mammalia, Rodentia, Sciuridae. The record is from RefSeq and is a predicted model, not a curated record. The transcript is spliced from 2 exons.